GCGCAGAACCUUACCAGCCCUUGACAUACCCGGUGGCGGUUUUCCAGAGAUGGAUUCUUUCAGUUCGGCUGGACCGGAGACAGGUGCUGCAUGGCCGUCCUCAGCUCGUGUCGUGAGAUGUUGGGUUAAGUCCUGCAACGAGCGCAACCCCCGUCUUUAGUUGCUACCAUUUAGUUGAGCACUCUAAAGAGACUGCCGGUGAUAAGCCGCGAGGAAGGUGGGGAUGACGUCAAGUCCUCAUGGCCCUCACGGGCUGGGCUACACACGUGCUACAAUGGCGGUGACAGAGGGACGCAAAGGCGCAAGCCUUCGCAAAUCUCAAAAAGCCGUCUCAGUUCGGAUUGGGCUCUGCAACUCGAGCCCAUGAAGUUGGAAUCGCUAGUAAUCGCAGAUCAGCAUGCUGCGGUGAAUACGUUCCCGGGCCU
RNAcentral lists this ribosomal RNA (425 nucleotides) under uncultured bacterium. Its description in RNAcentral is "bacterial SSU rRNA". It matches the Rfam family "Bacterial small subunit ribosomal RNA", at positions 961 to 1381 of the family's 1533-position model. The record is from RNAcentral.